AUAUGUUGGAACCAACUGCCGGAAAUGUUGGAAACAACACCCGGACAAUCUGCAACCACCCAUUGGAGACACUAGAAUCAGAUCCUGGACACACCGGAAGCUCCUGCCGGACACUCUGGAACCACCUUCUGGAACCACUGGAAUCACCCACCGGAUACGAAGGAACCACCUUCCAGACACACCAGAACCACUUGUCAGAUUCGGCGGAACCAGGUGCUGGACAUGAUGAAACCACCUGUCGGAUAUGCCAGAACCAGGUGCCAGACACGAGAGACCCACCUGCUGGACAAGCCGGAACCACCUGCCUGACAUGCUGGAACAACCUGCCGGACACGCCGAAAUCACCUGCCUCAUACACUGGAACCAGGUCCUGGAAAAACCUGCCAGACACACCGAAACCACCACCUGCACACUCCGAAACCACCAACCCAAUUCUGGCAGUUCCUGCAGGUGGUUCCAGCGUGUCUGGCAGGUGCUUCUGGUGUGCUGGGACCUGAUUCUGCCAUCUCCGGUGGGUGGUUCCAGAGUGUCCUUGUGGUGGUGUCCAGCAGUUGGUUCCAGAGCGUCAGGCAGGUGGUACAGGCAUUUCUGGGAGGUGCUUUGGGGGUGUCCAGCGAGUGGUCCGGGUGUGUCUGGCAAGUGGUUCCAGCAUGUCCGGCGUGUCCUUCCAGUAUGUCUGGCCUGUAAUUCCUCAUGUCCAGCCAGUGCUUCUGGUGUGUCCAUCACCUGGUUCUGGCAUGUUUGGCAGGUGGUUCCGGCAAGUCCACCAGAUGGUUCUGGCUCAUCCUGAAGGUGGUUAAGGCAUAUCUGGCAGGUGGUUCAAUCAUGUCCAGCAGGUGGUUCAGUCUUGUUCAGCACGUGGUUCAGUCGUGUUCAGCACCUGCUUCUGGCAUGUGAGAAAGCUGUUUCUAGCAUAUCCAGCAGGUGGCUCCAGUGAGUCCGGCAGGUGUUUCAGUUGUGUCCAGCACCAUGUUUCUGUGCGUGCGACACCUGUUUCUGGCAUAUCAGGCAGGUAUUUCUGGCAUGUCCAGCAGGUUUUUCACUCAAGUCUGGCAGUUGGUUCAGGCGUGUCCAGCAGGUGGUUCUGGCAUGUUGGGCACCUGGUUCCAGCAUGCCCAGCAUGUGAUUUGGGAAUGUCUGUAAUGUGGUCCUGGCUGGUCCAGCAGUGGUUCAGACUAGUAUGGCAGCUGCUUCAGGCUUGUCUGGCACCUGGUUCUGGCCUGUCCUGGACCUGUUUCUGGUAUAUCUGGCAGAUGGUGCCGGUGUGUCUAAGAGGUGGUUCCGGUGUGUCUGGCAGAUGGUUUUGGUGUACUCAGCAGGUGAUUUGGAAGUGGCCAGCAGGUGUUUCCUCCAUGUCUGGCAACUGGUUCUGGCGCAUUUGGUAGGUGGUUUCAGUGUAUCCGGCACCUGGUUCCCCCAUAUGCAAAAGUGGGUUCCAGCAUGUCUGGCAGGUGGUUCCAGGGUGUCAGACCAGAGAUUCCACCAUGUUUUGCAGAUGGAUCAGUGCUGUCCAGCAGGUGGAUCAGUCGUUCUGGCAGUGGGUUGCAGCAUAUCUGGCGGUGGUUGUGGCGUGUCCAGAAGGUGGUUCUGGUGAGUCAAGCAGGUGGUUAUGGCAUGUUUGGCAGGUGGUUCAGGCGUGUCUGUCAGCUGGUCCAGGUGCAUCAGGCACAUGGUCCAGGCAUGGCCGUCCCGUGGUCCAGGCAUUUCUGAAACAUGGUUCUGACAUGUCUGAAAGAUGGUUUGGGCGUGUCUGGCAUCUGAUUCAGUCCUCUCCGAGAGGUGCUUUGGGGGUGUCCCACAGGUGGUCCUGGUGUUUCCGGCCAGUGGUUCAGCAUGUCUGGCAGGUCAUUCGAGUAUGUUUGGUCUGGGGUUCCGGUUUGUAUAGCAGGCAGAUCCAGCGUGUCUGGCACCUGGCUCCGGCAUGCUUGGCAGGUGGUUCUGGCAUGUCCACCAGAUGGUUCCAGUGCAUCCUGAAGGUGGUUAUGGCGUGUCCAGCAGGUGGUUCAGGCUUGUCCGUCACUUGGUUCCGUCGUGUCCAGCGCCUGGUUCCAGCAUUUGCAUCACCUGUUUCCGGCAUAUCUGGCAGGUGGUUCCAGCUUGUCCAGCAGGUGGUUCUAGCAUGUCCAGCAUCUGGUUCUGGCAUAUCCAGCAGUUGGUUUCAUGGUGUCCGGCACCUGGUUCCGCCAUAUAUGAGAAGUGGCACCGGCGUGUCUGGCAGGUGUUUCUGGGGUGUCAGGCAGGUGGUUCCAGUGUGUCCGGCCGGUGUUUCAGCAGUGUUUGGCCAGUGGAUCAGUGCUUUCCAGCAGGUGGAUAAGUCAUGUCAGGUAGUUGGUUGCAGCACAUCCGGAGGUGGUUCUGACGUUUCCAAUAUGUGGUUCUGACGUGUCAGUCAGGUGGUUCUAGGUGACUGGAAGGUGGUUCCAUCAUGUCCUGUGGGUGAUUCCACCGGUUCCCGCAGCUGGUUCCAGUGUGUCCAGCAGGUGCUUCUGGUGUGUCCAGGACCUGAUUCUGGCAUCUCCAGUGUGUGGUUCCAGAGUGUCCAGGUGGUGGUUCUGACUUGUGCAACAUUUGCUUCCAACAUGUCAGGCAGGUGGUUGAGGCGUUUCCGGUGGAUGGUUCCAGUAUAUCCGACAGGUAGUUCUGGUUUGUCUGGCAGGUUGUUCAAGCAUGUCUCUCAGCUGGUCCAAAUGCAUCCGGCACAUGGUCCUGGCAUGGCCGUUCCGUGGUCCUGGCAUUUCUGAAACGUUGUUCUGAUGUGUCCAAAAAGUGGUUUGGGCGUGCCCGGCAUCUGAUUCAGGCCUCACUGGGAGGUGGUUUGGUGAUGUCUCAUAGGUGGUCUGUGUGUGUCCAGCAAGUGGUUCCGGCAUGUCCAGCGUGUGCUUCCAGAAUGUCUGGACUUUGAUUCUGGGAAGUUCAGCAGGCGGUUCUGGUGUGUCCAGCACCUGGCUGCAGUGAGUUCGGCAGGUGGAUCUGGCAUGUCCACCACAUGGUUCUGGGGCAUCAUGAAGGUGUUUCCGGCAUGUCUGGCAGUUGGUUCAGUCAUGUCCAGCACCUGGUUCCAGCGUGUGUGACACCUGUUUCUGGUGUAUCUGGCAGGUGGUUCUGGCAUGUCCAUCAGUUGGUGCAUGCAAUCUGGCAGGUAGUUCAGGUGUGUCCAUCCGGUGGUUCUGCCAUGUCGGGCACCUGGUUCCAGCGUGCUCGGCAUGUGGUUCCAGAAUGUCUGUAAAGUGGUUCAGGCUGGUCCAGCAGAUGGUUCAGGCUAGUCCUGCAGCAGCUGCAGGCUUGUCUGGCACCUGGUGUCAGCCUGCGCUGGACCUGUUUCUGGCAUAUCCAGCAGAUGGUUCCGGCGUGUCCGACACAUGAUUUCGCCAUAUGAGACAGGUGAUUUGGACGUGUCCGGCAGGUAUUUCUUCCAUGUCCAGCACCUGGUUCUGGCGUAUUUAGCAGGUGGUUCUGGCCUGUCCGGCAGCUCAUUCAGGUUUGUCUGGCAUGUGAGUCUGGUAUGUGUGGAAGGUGAUUCUGGCAUGUACAUUCGGUUCUUCUGUCAUGUGCGUCAGUUGGUUCUGACAUGUCUGCUGGGUGGUUCUGGUGUGUCUGAGUGGUGCUUCCAGUGUGUCCAGAGGGUGGUUUUGGCAUGUCUGUCGGGUUGUUUCAGCAUAUAAGGGGCCUGUUUCCAGUAUAUCCGGCAGGUGAUUUUGGCGUGUCUGGCAGGUGGCUCAGACAUGUCCAGCAGGUGGUUCAGGUAUGUCUGGAAGGUGGUUUCCGCACGUCCAUAACCUGAUUCUGGCAUAUCUGACAUGUGGUUCCAGCAUGCCCGGCGUGUGGUUCCAGAUUAUCGGUCAAGUGGUUCAGGUGUAUCCAGCAGGUGGUUCAGUCUUGUCUGGCAGGUGACUCAGCCUUGUCUGGCAGGUGAUUCCAGCCUGUCUGCCAGUGGUACUGGUGCGUCAUUCAGGUGGUUCCAGCGUGUCAGGUGGGGGUUUCUGUGUGUCUGGCAUGAGUUUCCGGUAUGUCCGGAAGGUGGUUCCAUGGUGUCCGUAGGGUGAUUCCACCUGUUCCCACAUAUGGUUCCAGAGUGUCUGGCAGGUGGCUCCUGUGUGACUGGCAUGUGGUUCUGGUAUGUUCAGAAGGUGGUUCCAGCCUGUCAGGCACCUGCUUUUGGCAUAUCCGGCAGGUGGUUUCACUGUGUCCAGCACCAGGUUCCACCAUAUCUGACUGGUGGUUCCAGCGUUUCUGGCAGGUAGUUCCAGCAUGUCUAGAAGUUGGUUCCGUGAUGUCCAGAAGGUGGUUCAAGCAUGUCCAGCUGGUGGUUCAGGCAUGUCUGGAACGUGGCUCCAGGGUGUCCAGCAGGUAAUCUGACACUCUGGAGCCACAUGCUGGGCAUGCUGGAACCAAGUGCCCGACACGCUAGUACCACCUUCUAGACAUGCCUGAAUCACCUGCUGGGCACACCUGAACCACCUGCUGGAUAUGCCAGAGACAGUUGUGGCACAUGCUGAAUCCUGGUGCUGGACAUGAUUGAAGACAUGAAGAAAUGGAGCCACCUGCCUGAUACACCAUAAACAGGUGUUGCACACUCUGGAACCGUGUCCUGGACACGACAGAAACAGCAGCUGGACAAGCCUGAACAACCUGCUGGACAUGACUGAACCCCUGUCAGACACACCGUAAGCACCUUUGGGACACGGUGGAACCCUCGGCUGGACAUGCCAGAAUAACCUACCAAACACGCUGGAGCCAGGUGUCAGACAUGCUGGAACUGACUGCUGGACAUGCUGGAACCACAGGCCACACAUACUGGCAGGACACGCCAGACACACCAGAACCUAUUGCCAGAUACACUCAGACCACCUGCCCGACACCACCAAAGCACCUUCUGGAGAGGCCUGAAUCAGGUGCUGGGCAUGCUGAAACCACAUUUUGGACACAUCAGAACCACAUUUCAGAAAUGCCUGAACCAUGGGACAGCCAUGCCUGGACCAUGUAUAAGAUCCACGUGGACCAGCUGACAUACAUGCCUGAACAACCUGCUGGACAUGCCGGGACUACCCACCGGACAUACCAGAACCAUCCACUGGAAACGCCUGAACCACCUGCCUGAAACGCAGGACCAACUGCUGGACACUCUGGAACCACCUUCGGGACAGGCCUGGAAAACCUGCUGGACACGCCUGAACCCCUGCUUGACACGCUGGAAGCACCUGCUUGACUCACCAGAACCGCCUGCCAGAUAUGCCAGAACCAGGCUCCUUAUACACCGGAACCACCCACCAGUCAUGCCGGAACCACCUACAGGACACACUGGAACCACCACACAGACACGCUGGAACCACGCUCCACACAUGCCAGAAUCAGGUCCGGGACAGAGCACAAUUACCUGGCAGAUGCUCCAGGACCACCUGCUGGACACGUUGAAAUCACCCACAAGACAUGCCCAAACCAACUGUCCGACAUGCCAGAAGCACUCAGCACACACACUGGAUCCACCUUCUGAAUGUACAUGAACUACGUGCUAGACACACAGGAAUGACUUGCCAGGCACACCAGAACCACAUGUUGGUUACACCAGAACCAGGUGCUGGAUACACUGAAACUACCUUCUGAAAAUGCCAGAACCAGGUGCCAGACAAGCCAGAAACAUCUGCUGGACAUGUCCAAAUCACCUGUCAGAUACACCAAAGCCAUGUGCCGGACACGCCAAAACCACCUCCCAGACAAGCCGGAACCAUCUCCCAGAUAAACCAGAAACAGGUCCAGAACAGGCCAGAACCAGGUGCUGGACAUGCCUGAAGCAGCUGCGGGACAAGCCUGAAACACCUGCUGGAGAUGCCUGAACCACUUUAUGGACAUUCUGGAACCAUCUGCCUGCCAUGCCAGAACAACCUGCCGGACAGCCGAAAUCACGUGCAUAUGUGCCAUAACCGGGUCCCAGAUAUGCCUGAACCAACUUCAGGACAGGCCAGAAAAACAUGCCGGACAAGCCAGAACCACCUCUUGGAGACACUGAAACCACCAACUGGACACGGCAAAAUCAGGUCCCAGACAUGCCAUAGCCACCUGUCAGACAGGCUGGAAUCACCCACUGGACAUGCAGGAACCAACUGCCAGACACCCGGAAGCACCCAAUGGACACAUGGGAACCACCUUCCAGACAUACCAGUAACUCAUGCCAGACACACAGGAACCUCCUGCCUUGCAUGCUGGAACCACCUAAAUGACAAGCCGGUAACACCCGCCGGAUAUGCCGGAACAACCUGCCAGACAAGACUGAACCACCUGCUGGAUACGCCUGAAUCAUUUGACGGACACUCUGGAACCACAUGCCGGGCACACCGGAACCACCUGACAGAUAUGCCAAAACCAGGUGCCAGACACUCCAGAACCACCUUCCAGACAGGCCUGAACCAUCUUCUGGACAUGCCUAAACCACCUGCUGGACACACCAGAACCAACUGUCUGACUCACCAGAACCACUUGCUUGACUCCCCAGAGCCACCUGCCGGACAAGCUGAAGUCACUUGCUGGAACCAAGCUUGUCUGCCAGAACCACCCACCACAGGUACCAGAACCACCUGCCAGACACACUGGAACCACCACUAAGACACACCGGAAUCACAUGCCGGAAUCAGGGAGGGGACAUGGCACAGCCUCCUGCCAGAUGGUCCGGAACCACCUGCUGGACAUGCCUGAACCACCUGCCAGACUUGUGAGAAGCACCUGCCAGACAAGCCAGAACCACCAGCCUAACAUGCCAGAACAACCUGCUGGACACGCCAAAAUCACCUGUAGUUCCGGCGUGUCCAGCACGUGGUUCUGGCAUAUCUGAGAGGUGGUUCCGGCAUGCCGGGCAUGUGAUUUCAGAGUGUCCGUGAAGUGGUUCUGGCGUAUCUGGCAGGUGAUUUCGGUGCUCCGUCGUGUCUGGGACCUGGUUUUGGCAUGUGCGACACCUGUUUCUGGUGUAUCCAGGAGGUGGUUCUCACAAGAUUGGCAGGUGGUUCAGGCUGGUCUAGCAGGUGAUUCAGGUGUGUGUGGCAGCUGUUUCAGGCGUGUCCGGCACCUGGUUCUGGCCUGUGCCAGACCUGUUUCUGGUGUAUCCAUCACAUGGUUUAGGAGUGUCCAGCACAUGGUUCUGGCAUAUUCGGCAGUUGGCUUCAGUAUCCUGGGCGCCUGGUUCUGGCGUAUCUGACAGUGGUUCCGUGGUGUCUGGCAGUUGGUUCCCGUGUGUCUUGUGUGUGUGUUUCCAGUACAUUCUUAAGGUGGUUCCUGCGUGUCUGGCUGGUGGCUACUGUGUAUCCGGGACCUGAUUCCGGCGUGUCCAGUUGGUGCUUUCAGAGUGUCCCGGUGUUUGUUCUGACGUGUCUGGCAGUUGGUUCCCACAUGUCCGGUGGGUGAUUCUGGCAUGUCUGGCAGGUUGUUCUGGCCUUUGACAGAAAUUGGUUCUGGCAUAUCCAGGACCUGGUUCUGGUGUAUCCGGCAGGUGAUUUUGGUGUGUCUGGCAGGUGGUUCCGGUGAGUCAAGCAGGUGGUUCUGGCGUGUUCGGCAGGUGGUUCAGGCGUGCGCAGCAGGUGGUUCAGGUCUGUCCGGGAAGUGGUUCCGACAUGUCUGGCACAUGGUUCUGGCUUAUUUGGCAGGUGGCUUCAGCGUACCACGUGCCUGGUUCCGGCGUAUCUGACAGUUGGUUCCAUGGGGUCUGGCAUGUGUUUCUGGUACAUUCUUAAGGUGGUUCCUGCAUGUCCAGCAGAUGCUUCAGUCUUGUCUGGCAGUUGGAUCAGUCAUGUGGGACACCUGGUUCUGGCGUGGGCUGUGCCUGUUUCUGGCGUAUCUGGCAGGUGGCGCUGGCGUGUCCGGCAGGUGGUUCCAUUAUGUCUGGCACAUGGUUCCCGGGUAUCAUGCAGGUGAUUUUGACGUGUCCUGUGGGUUGUCCCAGCAUCUCCGACACCUGGUUCUGGCAUGUCCAGGAGGUAGUUUCAGCGAAUCAGGCACCUGGUUCCAGGGUAUCCAACAGGUGGUCCUGGCAUGUCUGGUAGGUGAUUCUGGUGUGUGUGGCACAUGGUUGCGGUGUAUCUGGCAGGUGAUUUCGACGCGUCCAGCAGGUGUUUCCAGCAUAUCUGGCACAUGGUUCUGUCAUGUCUUGCAGGUUUUUCAUUCAUUACCUGCACCUGAUUUUGGCAUGUGCAAUACCUGUUUCUGGAUUAUACUUCAGGUAGUCCCAGUGUGCCCAGCAGGUGGUUCUUGCAAGUCUGGCAUGUGGCUCAGGCAUGUCCAGCAGGUGGUUCUGGUGUCUUGGACACCUGGUUCCAGCAUUUCUGGCAGGUGGUUCUGGACCAUUCAGCAGGAGGUUGCACCAUGUCCCCUACCUGAUUGCGACGUGUGUUUUGUGUGGUUCUGGUGUGUCUCUGCAGUGCCUCCAGUGUGUCCUGCAGGUGGUUCCGGCACAUGUGGUCAGUUUUCCCGGCGUAGAAAGAGCUUGGUUCCAGCUGUCAGUCGAGUCUGGCUGUUGGUUGCAGCUUAUCCAGGGGUGGUUCUGGCAUCUCCAUAACGUGGUUCCAGUGUGUCCAGCAGGUGAUUCCGACAUGUCUUGUGGGUGGUUAUGGCACAUAACUCUAGGCCAGAUAUAAUUAAAUGAUACACUGGAUAUGCCAAACCACUUGUUGGAAACACCCAGACCACCUGCUGGACACCCCCAAAGCACUUCCCGGAGAGGAGCAAAUCAGAUGUCUGGCACACCCAAACCAUCUUUUGGGCACAUCAGAACCGUGUUUCAGAAAUGCCUGGAGAGGUUGGCCAUGCCAUGUGCCAUGCCAUGUGCCAGGUGCACCUGGACCAGCUGACUAACAGGCCUGAACAUCUUGCCAGACUUGCCAAACUACCCUCUGGCCAUACCGCAACCAUCCACCAGAA
This is a long non-coding RNA of Equus asinus (donkey), 8898 nucleotides long. Lineage: Eukaryota; Metazoa; Chordata; Mammalia; Perissodactyla; Equidae. The record is from Ensembl.